This 442-nucleotide ribosomal RNA is filed under the name uncultured bacterium. RNAcentral's name for it is "partial 16S ribosomal RNA". It matches the Rfam family "Bacterial small subunit ribosomal RNA", at positions 338 to 795 of the family's 1533-position model. The record is from RNAcentral.
CCUACGGGAGGCAGCAGUGGGGAAUAUUGGACAAUGGGCGCAAGCCUGACCCAGCAACGCCGCGUGCAGGAAGACGGCUUUCGGGUUGUAAACUUCUUUUGUCAGGGACGAGUAGAAGACGGUACCUGACGAAUAAGCCACGGCUAACUACGUGCAAGCAGCCGCGGUAAUACGUUGGUGGCAAGCGCUGUCCGGAUUUACUGGGUGUAAAGGGCGUGUAGACGGGUUGACAAGUCAGAUGUGAAAUCCUGCGGCUUAACCGCAGAACUGCAUUUGAAACUGUUGAGCUUGAGUACUGGAGAGGGAGACGGAAUUCCUAGUGUAGCGGUGAAAUGCGUAGAUAUUAGGAGGAACACCAGUGGCGAAGGCGGUCUGCUGGACAGCAACUGACGGUGAGGCGCGAAAGCGUGGGGAGCAAACAGGAUUAGAUACCCUUGUAGUC